GGUCUGCCUGAAAUUAAUGAUUAUACACAAAACAUAAUUCACAUCAGGCUUGGUACAUUGAAUAUAUGGAUAAGUAAACUCUUUUACACCCAUUCAUAUUGAACCUCUUCCACAUAAAUUUCAUGUAUCCAGACUGGGACAAGUCAUGCAUCCACUUAUAUCCAUCCCUAUAGAUGCCAAGAAAUAUUGGAUGCUUAAUCCAAGUCUUUUUUCAUGAAAAUAUUUGGGAUAAGCAUAUAAAUGACCGAGUGUAAUAUCAAGACUACCUUCUCAAUAUACUGUA
RNAcentral lists this long non-coding RNA (283 nucleotides) under Elaeis guineensis (African oil palm). RNAcentral's name for it is "long non-coding RNA (EGUI_LNC055844)". The record is from RNAcentral. Lineage: Eukaryota; Viridiplantae; Streptophyta; Magnoliopsida; Arecales; Arecaceae.